GACGGAGGUCCCUAGCGUUGUUCGGAAUUACUGGGCUUAAAGCGCGUGUAGGCGGAAGGGCAAGUACCUUGUGAAAUCCCCGGGCUCAACCCGGGAAUGGCUGGGUAUACUGCCUUUCUUGAGGCAGGUAGGGGUCACUGGAACCUUAGGUGGAGCGGUGAAAUGCGUAGAUAUCUAAGGGAACGCCUGUGGCGAAAGCGGGUGACUGGGCCUGUCCUGACGCUGAGACGCGAAAGCGUAGGGAGCAAACGGGAUUAGAUACCCCGGUAGUCUACGCCGUAAACGAUGCGCACUAGGUUCGAGGGUCCCUGACGAUUCUCGAGCCGAAAUAAAAACGAUAAGUGCGCCGCCUGGGGAGUACGGCCGCAAGGCUAAA
RNAcentral lists this ribosomal RNA (376 nucleotides) under uncultured bacterium. Its description in RNAcentral is "bacterial SSU rRNA". It matches the Rfam family "Bacterial small subunit ribosomal RNA", at positions 524 to 898 of the family's 1533-position model. The record is from RNAcentral.